GGACUACACGGGUUUCUAAUCCUGUUUGCUCCCCUAGCUUUAGCAGCUCAGCGUCAGUGAUGGUCCAGGUGCCUGCUUUCGCCAUAGGUAUUCCUCCCGAUCUCUACGCAUUUCACCGCUACACCGGGAAUUCCAGCACCCUCUACCACACUCUAGCCGGACAGUUUCCGUUGACCUCUCCCAGUUAAGCCAGGAGCUUUCACAACAGACUUAUCCAACCGCCUACCUGCGCUUUACGCCUAGUGAUUCCGAGUAACGCUUGCCACCUACGUAUUACCGCGGCUGCUGGCAC
RNAcentral lists this ribosomal RNA (292 nucleotides) under uncultured bacterium. RNAcentral's name for it is "partial 16S ribosomal RNA". The record is from RNAcentral.